UUGAAAGUUGUUUUCUUGUGUUGAGUCUCUCUCUUCCUCACAGAGAUUGGGCGGCUCCACCUGCACCUUCACCUUCACACCUGCACAAGAUUACUGCAAUCACCACCUGCAUUUAAGCCCUGCUGUGAGGCUACUCCUGCACCUGAUGUGUGCCUCCACGAGCCCCCGGUGCUACCACCCAAUCGCUGCCACUCUCUCUCCCUGGAUUCACUCACCUCAAGCCCUCACGUCUCCAGCCUUCACCUCUCCUCGGAUUCCCUCCUCACGCUUUGGACCCUGGAUCCCUUUCCCACACCCUUUUUUUCCCCUUCAAUAAAUUCACUUAGCUGCUU
This is a long non-coding RNA of Notolabrus celidotus (New Zealand spotty), 332 nucleotides long. RefSeq lists it as uncharacterized. The record is from RefSeq and is a predicted model, not a curated record. NCBI's taxonomy places the organism in Eukaryota, Metazoa, Chordata, Actinopteri, Labriformes, Labridae. The transcript has 2 exons.